This 233-nucleotide unclassified non-coding RNA is filed under the name Ascomycota sp. Its description in RNAcentral is "partial contains small subunit ribosomal RNA, internal transcribed spacer 1, and 5.8S ribosomal RNA". The stretch from base 1 to 47 matches the Rfam family "Eukaryotic small subunit ribosomal RNA", at positions 1785 to 1831 of the family's 1831-position model. The record is from RNAcentral. Lineage: Eukaryota; Fungi; Ascomycota.
AAAGUCGUAACAAGGUCUCCGUUGGUGAACCAGCGGAGGGAUCAUUACCGAAGUUACCCUUCAAAACCCAUUGUGAACCAUACCUCUUGCCGCGUUGUCUCGGCGGGAGGCGCUGGGGCUUCGGCUCCGCGUCCCCGCCGGCAGCGCCAAACUCUAAACUGCAAAGCGUACUGCAUGCUCUGAUUUACAAAAAAAACAAGUUAAAACUUUCAACAACGGAUCUCUUGGUUCUG